RNAcentral lists this ribosomal RNA (333 nucleotides) under Bacillus pumilus. Its description in RNAcentral is "bacterial SSU rRNA". It matches the Rfam family "Bacterial small subunit ribosomal RNA", at positions 1198 to 1530 of the family's 1533-position model. Lineage: Bacteria; Bacillati; Bacillota; Bacilli; Caryophanales; Bacillaceae. The record is from RNAcentral.
GCCCUUAUGACUGGGCUACACACGUGCUACAAUGGACAGAACAAAGGGCUGCAAGACCGCAAGGUUUAGCCAAUCCCAUAAAUCUGUUCUCAGUUCGGAUCGCAGUCUGCAACUCGACUGCGUGAAGCUGGAAUCGCUAGUAAUCGCGGAUCAGCAUGCCGCGGUGAAUACGUUCCCGGGCCUUGUACACACCGCCCGUCACACCACGAGAGUUUGCAACACCCGAAGUCGGUGAGGUAACCUUUAUGGAGCCAGCCGCCGAAGGUGGGGCAGAUGAUUGGGGUGAAGUCGUAACAAGGUAGCCGUAUCGGAAGGUGCGGUUGGAUCACCUCC